GAUGAAGAACGUAGCGAAAUGCGAUAAGUAAUGUGAAUUGCAGAAUUCAGUGAAUCAUCGAAUAUUUGAACGCACAUUGCGCCCGGUAGUAUUCUGCCGGGCAUGCCUGUUCGAGCGUCAUUUCAACCAUCAAGCCCCAGCGCUUGUGUUGGGGGCCUGCGGCUGCCGCAGCCCCCUAAAAGCAGUGGCGGGCUCGCUAUCACACCGAGUGCAGUAGUUCAUCUUCUCUCCGGUCUUGUGAGGCGGGUUCCGGCCGUGAAACACCCCACUACAUUCAAGGUUGACCUCGGAUCAGGUAGGAAUACCCGCUGAACUUAAGCAUAUCAAUAAGCGGAGGA
RNAcentral lists this unclassified non-coding RNA (338 nucleotides) under soil metagenome. RNAcentral's name for it is "partial contains 5.8S ribosomal RNA, internal transcribed spacer 2, and large subunit ribosomal RNA". The stretch from base 1 to 120 matches the Rfam family "5.8S ribosomal RNA", at positions 35 to 154 of the family's 154-position model. The record is from RNAcentral.